Molecule: ribosomal RNA, 268 nt
Filed under: uncultured bacterium
Lineage: Bacteria
Description: partial 16S ribosomal RNA
Rfam family: Bacterial small subunit ribosomal RNA
Source: RNAcentral
GUCCACGCUGUAAACGAUGAACACUAGAUGUUGGAGGAUUUGACCCCCUUCAGUGUCGUAGCUAACGCGUUAAGUGUUCCGCCUGGGGAAGUACGGUCGCAAGACUAAACUCAAAGGAAUUGACGGGGGCCCGGCACAAGCGGUGGAUUAUGUGGUUUAAUUCGAAGCAACGCGCAGAACCUUACCUAGGCUUGAAAUCCUACGAAUCCGGCCCAAAAGCUGGAGUGCUCUUCGGAGAAUGUAGUGACAGGCGCUGCAUGGCUGUCGU